This 61-nucleotide small RNA is filed under the name Flavobacterium sp. 9. RNAcentral's name for it is "Flavo-1 RNA". The record is from RNAcentral. Lineage: Bacteria; Pseudomonadati; Bacteroidota; Flavobacteriia; Flavobacteriales; Flavobacteriaceae.
GGGAGAAAAUCCUUUUGCUUUUUCCUUUAAAAAGCAAAAGAUUGGAACGUCCCGAGACUUC